UGGGGAAUCUUGGACAAUGGGGGCAACCCUGAUCCAGCGAUGCCGCGUGGGUGAAGAAGGCCUUCGGGUUGUAAGCCCUUUAGGUUGGGAAGAAGGGGAGAUGCUGAAUAAGCAUUUUCUUUGACGGUACCGACAGAAUAAGCACCGGCAAACUCUGUGCCAGCAGCCGCGGUAAUACAGAGGGUGCGAGCGUUAAUCGGAAUCACUGGGCGUAAAGGGCGCGUAGGCGGUAGAGUGUGUGGUGUGUGAAAGCCCCGGGCUUAACCUGGGAAGUGCAUACCAAACUGCUCAACUAGAAUGCAGGAGAGGGUGGCGGAAUUUCCGGUGUAGCGGUGAAAUGCGUAGAGAUCGGAAGGAACGUCAGUGGCGAAGGCGGCCACCUGGACUGACAUUGACGCUGAGGCGCGAAAGCGUGGGGAGCGAACAG
This 427-nucleotide ribosomal RNA is filed under the name uncultured bacterium. Its description in RNAcentral is "bacterial SSU rRNA". It matches the Rfam family "Bacterial small subunit ribosomal RNA", at positions 355 to 775 of the family's 1533-position model. The record is from RNAcentral.